Molecule: ribosomal RNA, 172 nt
Filed under: uncultured bacterium
Lineage: Bacteria
Description: partial 16S ribosomal RNA
Rfam family: Bacterial small subunit ribosomal RNA
Source: RNAcentral
CCUACGGGAGGCAGCAGUGGGGGAUAUUGCACAAUGGGGGAAACCCUGAUGCAGCAACGCCGCGUGAAGGAAGACGGUUUUCGGAUUGUAAACUUCUUUUCUUAGUGAAGAAGCAAGUGACGGUAGCUAAGGAAUAAGCAUCGGCUAACUACGUGCCAGCAGCCGCGGUAAU